GACGGAGGAUGCAAGUGUUAUCCGGAAUCACUGGGCGUAAAGCGUCUGUAGGUGGUUUAAUAAGUCAACUGUUAAAUCUUGAGGCUCAACCUCAAAAUCGCAGUCGAAACUAUUAGGCUAGAGUAUAGUAGGGGUAAAGGGAAUUUCCAGUGGAGCGGUGAAAUGCGUAGAGAUUGGGAGGAACACCAGUGGCGAAGGCGGCUCACUGGACCGGUACUGACGCUGAGGCGCGAAAGCGUGGGGAGCAAACGGG
This 253-nucleotide ribosomal RNA is filed under the name uncultured bacterium. RNAcentral's name for it is "partial 16S ribosomal RNA". It matches the Rfam family "Bacterial small subunit ribosomal RNA", at positions 524 to 776 of the family's 1533-position model. The record is from RNAcentral.